UUAGGUAGUUGGUUAGGUAAUGGCUUACCAAGCCGUUGAUCGGUACGGGUUGUGAGAGCAAGAGCCCGGAGAUGGAACCUGAGACAAGGUUCCAGGCCCUACGGGGUGCAGCAGGCGCGAAACCUCCGCAAUGUGAGAAAUCGCGACGGGGGGAUCCCAAGUGCCAUUCUUAACGGGAUGGCUUUUCAUUAGUGUAAAGAGCUUUUGGAAUAAGGGCUGGGCAAGACCGGUGCCAGCCGCCGCGGUAACACCGGCAGCUCUAGUGGUAGCAGUUUUUAUUGGGCCUAAAGCGUCCGUAGCCGGUUUAAUAAGUCUCUGGUGAAAUCCUGUAGCUUAACUGUGGGAAUUGCUGGAGAUACUAUUAGACUUGAGACCGGGAGAGGUUAGAGGUACUCCCAGGGUAGAGGUGAAAUUCUGUAAUCCUGGGAGGACCGCCUGUUGCGAAGGCGUCUAACUGGAACGGUUCUGACGGUGAGGGACGAAAGUUAGGGGCGCGAACCGGAUUAGAUACCCGGGUAGUCCUAACCGUAAACGAUGCGGACUUGGUGUUGGGGUGGCUUUGAGCUGCUCCAGUGCCGAAGGGAAGCUGUUAAGUCCGCCGCCUGGGAAGUACGGUCGCAAGACUGAAACUUAA
This 634-nucleotide ribosomal RNA is filed under the name uncultured archaeon. RNAcentral's name for it is "bacterial SSU rRNA". It matches the Rfam family "Archaeal small subunit ribosomal RNA", at positions 225 to 859 of the family's 1478-position model. The record is from RNAcentral.